CUGAGAGGGGGUCCUCUGGGCCCAACCUUCAACCCUAUGUGUUGUUACCUUGUUUCUUUGGUCGGCCUCAGCCGGCCAGAAGCACCCCUAAACUCAUUAUAAAAUAUGUCAUUCUGAAUCAUAAACAAAUAAAGCA
RNAcentral lists this unclassified non-coding RNA (136 nucleotides) under uncultured fungus. Its description in RNAcentral is "sequence contains ITS1, 5.8S rRNA gene". The record is from RNAcentral. Lineage: Eukaryota; Fungi.